GAUGAACGCUGGCGGCGUGCCUAAUACAUGCAAGUCGAGCGAAUGGAUUAAGAGCUUGCUCUUAUGAAGUUAGCGGCGGACGGGUGAGUAACACGUGGGUAACCUGCCCAUAAGACUGGGAUAACUCCGGGAAACCGGGGCUAAUACCGGAUAACAUUUUGAACCGCAUGGUUCGAAAUUGAAAGGCGGCUUCGGCUGUCACUUAUGGAUGGACCCGCGUCGCAUUAGCUAGUUGGCGAGGUAACGGCUCACCAAGGCAACGAUGCGUAGCCGACCUGAGAGGGUGAUCGGCCACACUGGGACUGAGACACCGCCCAGACUCCUACGGGAGGCAGCAGUAGGGAAUCUUCCGCAAUGGACGAAAGUCUGACGGAGCAACGCCGCGUGAGUGAUGAAGGCUUUCGGGUCGUAAAACUCUGUUGUUAGGGAAGAACAAGUGCUAGUUGAACAAGCUGGCACCUUGACGGUACCUAACCAGAAAGCCACGGCUAACUACGUGCCAGCCGCCGCAGUAA
This 515-nucleotide ribosomal RNA is filed under the name uncultured bacterium. Its description in RNAcentral is "partial 16S ribosomal RNA". It matches the Rfam family "Bacterial small subunit ribosomal RNA", at positions 28 to 523 of the family's 1533-position model. The record is from RNAcentral.